This is a long non-coding RNA of Ornithodoros turicata, 1213 nucleotides long. RefSeq lists it as uncharacterized. Lineage: Eukaryota; Metazoa; Arthropoda; Arachnida; Ixodida; Argasidae. The transcript has 4 exons. The record is from RefSeq and is a predicted model, not a curated record.
GCGCGAGCUCAUGCAACAGGACGUGCAGAAGUUCCUACAAUCGUCAAUGAUUCUCAGCCUUAGCGUCAUUCAGUGGAACUGCCGUAGCGUGUUAUCGUCUCUAGUUGAUUUGCACCUCGUCAUUCAGGUCGUCAUUCCAUUCCCUCGCUCAUCUUUUAAUCAGUCAUUUCACUCAUCUCAUCCUCUCAUCGCUUCACGUAACCAUCGUCACCAUCAACCAUCAACUGGGCCCUCAUGUCACGAUCCGUGGCCAAUUGCCCCGUGCUAUGCGCCACUGCGGAGAAAGACGAAGAAGAAGAAGAAGAAGUUCCUACAGUCCAGUCGUGCAUGGACCUCACCGGAUGUGGUUCCUUGGGCUCACAUAAUCCCGCUUCACGUUGCACCUUCUGGAAGGCUACAUCAACCGCGGGGGUCUACAGCUGAACAGCGGCGGCGGACACUGUCGAGCCCUCAUAGAUGAACAGGUGGAGCUGUGUACCAUAUCAUUGAGAAAAUAAAGUAGCUUUUCUGUUCGGUCUGGACAUUCCUCAUUGGCCCGUAACGCGUGCGUUUUGCGAAGGUCAGGCACUCGGGUCACCUCGCGCCGUGUUAUUCUUUCACCGCUGUGGUUUUGAGAUCACGUUAUCAGUGCUGUUUUCAGGGACUAUCGCAAGACGGAAUGUUUUAGCGUAACGGAAUUCAAGUGAAGCGAUUGUGUCGUGGCUACUAAUUUUGCUAUUCUUAGGAGAAGGCCUAACUCUGACCACGACGGAGGCAACCACUCAGGAAGUUUUCCUUGAUACUACGACUGCGAUUACUACGACCUUGGUGCCAACUAAGACUACCCACACCACGGCUACUACGACCACAGCGCCAAUUGAGACUACUACUACGACUACCACCACCACGACUACCACCACUACGACGACAACGACAACCACGACUACUACUACCACCACCUUGAAACCACCUUUGCCUCAUAAGUUUCUUGCCUGCGUCAGUUCAGUCGUUCAGGCAAUAUUUCACCCACUCGAUGAUGUCUGUUACUUCAUGUUCUUCACCGUCCAAGACAUCAAUCAACUAAAAAACAAGAAUCUCGGUCUUGCGAGAAGCAAAGUUGGUAUCGACAUACCGAGCUCAAAAGCCAACGCUAAUCAGGGCAAACUUGAAAAUUCCAUCGCAGCGUACUGGCCAAAGAUCAGAGACUUCGCUGUCCUGGACAUGGAAGUCCGUC